This 253-nucleotide ribosomal RNA is filed under the name uncultured bacterium. RNAcentral describes it as "partial 16S ribosomal RNA". It matches the Rfam family "Bacterial small subunit ribosomal RNA", at positions 524 to 776 of the family's 1533-position model. The record is from RNAcentral.
UACGUAGGGUGCAAGCGUUGUCCGGAAUUAUUGGGCGUAAAGAGCUCGUAGGCGGUCUGUCGCGUCUGCUGUGAAAACUCAGGGCUUAACCCUGAGCUUGCAGUGGGUACGGGCAGACUAGAGUGCGGUAGGGGAGACUGGAAUUCCUGGUGUAGUGGUGAAAUGCGUAGAUAUCGGGAGGAACACCAGUGGCGAAGGCGACUACCUGGCCUGUUCUUGACGCUGAGGCGCGAAAGCUAGGGGAGCAAACGGG